AUUGAACGCUGGCGGCAGGCCUAACACAUGCAAGUCGAACGAGUGGCGGACGGGUGAGUAAUGUCUGGGACACUGCCCGAUGGAGGGGGAUAACUACUGGAAACGGUAGCUAAUACCGCAUACCAUCGGAUGUGCCCAGAUGGGAUUAGCUAGUAGGUGGGGUAAUGGCUCACCUAGGCGACGAUCCCUAGCUGGUCUGAGAGGAGGACAAGCCAAACUGGGACUGGGACACGGUCCAGACUCGUACGGGAGACAGCAGUGGGGAGUAUUGCACAAUGGGCGCAAGCCUGAUGCAGCCAUGCCGCGUGUAUGAAGAAGGCCUUCGGGUUGUAAAGUACUUUCAGCGGGGAGGCGUUACCCGCAGAAGAAGCACCGGCUAACUCCGUGCCAGCAGGCGCGGUAAUAC
RNAcentral lists this ribosomal RNA (406 nucleotides) under uncultured bacterium. RNAcentral describes it as "partial 16S ribosomal RNA". It matches the Rfam family "Bacterial small subunit ribosomal RNA", at positions 30 to 526 of the family's 1533-position model. The record is from RNAcentral.